AUUGAACGCUGGCGGAAUGCUUUACACAUGCAAGUCGAACGGCAGCACGGGUGCUUGCACCUGGUGGCGAGUGGCGAACGGGUGAGUAAUACAUCGGGAACGUACCUUAUCGUGGGGGAUAACGCAGCGAAAGGUGUGCUAAUACCGCAUACGCCCUGAGGGGGAAAGCGGGGGAUCGAAAGACCUCGCGUUAUUCGAGCGGCCGAUGCCGGAUUAGCUAGUUGGUGGGGUAAAGGCUCACCAAGGCGACGAUCCGUAGCAGGUCUGAGAGGAUGAUCUGCCACACUGGGACUGAGACACGGCCCAGACUCCUACGGGAGGCAGCAGUGGGGAAUUUUGGACAAUGGGCGCAAGCCUGAUCCAGCAAUGCCGCGUGCAGGAAGAAGGGCCUUCGGGUUGUAAACUGCUUUGUACGGAACGAAAAGGACUCUGGUUAAUACCU
Molecule: ribosomal RNA, 442 nt
Filed under: uncultured bacterium
Lineage: Bacteria
Description: bacterial SSU rRNA
Rfam family: Bacterial small subunit ribosomal RNA
Source: RNAcentral